This 408-nucleotide ribosomal RNA is filed under the name uncultured bacterium. Its description in RNAcentral is "partial 16S ribosomal RNA". It matches the Rfam family "Bacterial small subunit ribosomal RNA", at positions 28 to 526 of the family's 1533-position model. The record is from RNAcentral.
GACGAACGCUGGCGGCGUGCUUAACACAUGCAAGUCGAACGAAGUGGCGAACGGGUGAGUAACGCGUAAUCAACCUGCCCUUCAGAGGGGGACAACAGUUGGAAACGACUGCUAAUACCGCAUACUGAAGGAGGGGAUUGCGUCUGAUUAGCUAGUUGGAGGGGUAACGGCCCACCAAGGCGAUGUUCAGGAGCCGGUCUGAGAGGAGGAACGGCCACAUGGGGACUGAGAACCGGCCCAGCUUGCUACGGGAGGCAGCAGGGGGGAUUCUGCCGCAAUGGACGAAAGUCUGACGGAGCAACGCCGCGGGAGUAAUGACGGCCUUGGGGUUGGAAAGCUCUGUUAAUCGGGACGCGGUACCGGAAUAGAAAGCCACGGCUAACUACGUGCCAGCAGCCGCGGUAAUAC